GACGAACGCUGGCGGCGUGCCUAAUACAUGCAAGUAGAACGCUGAAGGAGGAGCUUGCUCUUCUGGAUGAGUUGCGAACGGGUGAGUAACGCGUAGGUAACCUGCCUGGUAGCGGGGGAUAACUAUUGGAAACGAUAGCUAAUACCGCAUAACAGUAGAUGUUGCAUGACAUUUGCUUAAAAGGUGCAAUUGCACCACUACCAGAUGGACCUGCGUUGUAUUAGCUAGUUGGUGGGGUAACGGCUCACCAAGGCGACGAUACAUAGCCGACCUGAGAGGGUGAUCGGCCAAACUGGGACUGAGACAAGGCCCAGACUCCUACGGGAGGCAGCAGGAGGGAAUCUUCGGCAAUGGACGGAAGGCUGACCGAGCAACGCCGCGGGAGGGAAGAAGGUUCUCGGAUUGUAAAGCUCUGUUGUAAGAGAAGAACGAGUGUGGGAGUGGAAAGUUCACACUGUGACGGUAUCUUACCAGAAAGGGACGGCUAACUACGUG
Molecule: ribosomal RNA, 495 nt
Filed under: uncultured bacterium
Lineage: Bacteria
Description: partial 16S ribosomal RNA
Rfam family: Bacterial small subunit ribosomal RNA
Source: RNAcentral